RNAcentral lists this ribosomal RNA (294 nucleotides) under uncultured bacterium. RNAcentral describes it as "partial 16S ribosomal RNA". It matches the Rfam family "Archaeal small subunit ribosomal RNA", at positions 455 to 747 of the family's 1478-position model. The record is from RNAcentral.
GUGCCAGCAGCCGCGGUAAUACCGGCAGCACGAGUGAUGGCCGAUAUUAUUGGGCCUAAAGCGUCCGUAGCCGGCCAGACAAGUCCGUUGGGAAAUCGACGCGUUCAACGCGUUGGCGUCCAGCGGAAACUGUCUGGCUUGGGGCCGGAGGACUCGAGGGGUACGUCCGGGGUAGGAGUGAAAUCCCGUAAUCCUGGACGGACCACCGGUGGCGAAAGCGCCUCGAGAAGACGGACCCGACGGUGAGGGACGAAAGCUAGGGUCUCGAACCGGAUUAGAAACCCCCGGUAGUCC